GUGCUCGCUUCAGCAGCACAUAUACUAAAAUUGGAACAAUAGAGAAGAUUAGCAUGACCCCUGCAUAAGGAUGACAUGCAAAUUCGUGAAACGUUCCAUGUUUUU
Molecule: small nuclear RNA, 105 nt
Filed under: Colobus angolensis palliatus
Lineage: Eukaryota; Metazoa; Chordata; Mammalia; Primates; Cercopithecidae
Source: RNAcentral